AACGAACGCUGGCGGCAUGCCUAACACAUGCAAGUCGAACGAGACCUUCGGGUCUAGUGGCGCACGGGUGCGUAACGCGUGGGAACCUGCCCUUAGGUUCGGAAUAACUCCCCGAAAGGGGUGCUAAUACCGGAUAAUGUCUUCGGACCAAAGAUUUAUCGCCUUUGGAUGGGCCCGCGUUGGAUUAGCUAGUUGUUAGGGUAAAAGCCUACCAAGGCGACGAUCCAUAGCUGGUCUGAGAGGAUGAUCAGCCACACUGGGACUGAGACACGGCCCAGACUCCUACGGGAGGCAGCAGUGGGGAAUAUUGGACAAUGGGCGAAAGCAUGAUCCAGCAAUGCCGCGUGAGUGAUGAAGGCCGUAGGGUUGUAAAGCUCUUUUACCCGGGAUGAUAAUGACAGUACCGGGAGAAUAAGCUCCGGCUAACUCCGUG
RNAcentral lists this ribosomal RNA (433 nucleotides) under uncultured bacterium. Its description in RNAcentral is "partial 16S ribosomal RNA". It matches the Rfam family "Bacterial small subunit ribosomal RNA", at positions 29 to 507 of the family's 1533-position model. The record is from RNAcentral.